This is a long non-coding RNA of Homo sapiens (human), 866 nucleotides long. RefSeq lists it as uncharacterized. Lineage: Eukaryota; Metazoa; Chordata; Mammalia; Primates; Hominidae. The transcript is spliced from 5 exons. The record is from RefSeq and is a predicted model, not a curated record.
AAUACCAUGGUAAGCUAUUACAGCAUUGGGAACAGAUGGUGAAGUUUUCCAUAAAAGAGAAAGGGAAACAGACCUGUCUGAAGCAAGAAAGCCUGUGUGGAUGAAUAUUGCUUCCAGGAGUCACAUAAUUACAUCUAAAAUCAUAGAAUGUUAGAGCUGGAGGAAUCUUUAGAGUUUGCCCAAGGUCCUUCACCAGCAUUUUACAGAAGAUUCUUCGAUUUAACUGCUCUUAAUUACAUCCCGUUGCACUGGCCCCAUCAAGUUGCUUUAAACAGCCCUUCUAGUCAACAGAGCUGCAGAGAAAAACCUUGGUUGGUUCAGGUCACUAGGAUGCAGAGCUGUCACACUUCAUUUGUGAGAACACUCCAGAGCUUCCUCCAGCUGCUGAUUCCAAACCAGCUUCACACUCCUUCUGAAUCCAAGGCAAAUAAACAAACUAUGCAAAGAAAUCAAACAUGACUUCUUCUUGGUCCUAUAAGAAGAUUGUUCAUGCUAUGCUUGUUAGAAGAGUUACAUGUAUACCUAUGAUCUUCGAAGACUAAAGAAAAUAUCAAGGAAACGUAUUUCAAUAAUGAUAUGGUCAAGACAUAGAGUUUCUUAUAUUAAUAAUACAAAGUUCACUUUCUGAAAAAAUGCACAUAUUGUUUAAGAUCGUCACAUAGUUUAUAUAUUUUAAUCGCUCCAUAAUUACGGAAUUAUUUUAAAUAAUAGCAAUAAUUAUAAUUGUAGUAUUUAAUGUCAAUAUUUCUACAAAUUAUAUUUAAGUAAAUAAGUAUAUUGUGAAAGGAGAGGGAUUCAGGAUCAGGGGUAUGUUCAAAAAUCUAUUUGUUUUUGUCAUUGUUGAAUAAAAAUCUCCCAUCUCAAAA